CGCCCCGGUCAAACUUUGGCAUUAGUGAGUUUGGCAAAUGUUAGCACUGGUGAACUGGAUGAAGAGAGUAGCCAGUUGUAACUUGGCGAAAACUUAAUUAUUAAUAUGGAUGUUAAUUUCAGAUAACGAGGGCGAUGGGCGUUUAUUAAAUACGGGUCGUUUAAUAGAGAGGGGAUUUUAACAAGAAACUAAUUUGACUGGGGCGUCUAUUAGAGGCGUUUGUUAAUAUAAAGUCACUCGGAGUUCCUCAGCGGACAAAACGGUCCUUAAUUGGUUACUCCUAGUUAUGAUAAAUGUCCCUCUCAGAUAAUUUACUACCUGGAAAUACGUUGAUGACUCAACAUUAUCAGAAACUGUUUUAAAGGUAAUCAGAGCGAAAUGUAAUUAGCAAUUGACCAAGUUUCGGAUUGGUCAAAAGAGAACGUUUUCCAGCUUAAGUGUGACACAACUAAAGAACUCGUCAUGAGCUUCAGCCACUCUAAUCGACAAGAUAACAUUCUGAUAAUUAAUAUAGAUGGAAACCAUUGGCACAGCAACCAAAGCAAAAUUACUGAGUGUAAUGAUAUGCGUAGUGAAAAAGCUUCUGGAAAAUUGUUUUUUCUGGUAGCGCUAACACUCUAAAGCAUGUGUAUUUUCCGGAAAAGGUGUGUAUAUUUGCAAGAUAAAGAUGUGUAAAAAAACACGCCUUAAGGUGUUUUUUUGUUUGUUUUUUGCUUGUCGCCAAAUUCACACACCUUAAGGCGUGUUUUUCAAAAAGAUGUAUAUUUUUUUACACACCUGAAGGUGUGUAUUUUGCCCUGAAUCUCUGGCGAACAAAUUACACACUUUAAGGCGUGCAUUUUCACACACAUUACAAGGUGUGCAAAAUAACACACCUUUUCGCUUGAUACACAGCUUGCAAAUACACACCUUGGAAUGUGUGCAAAAUUACACACCACAGUCGACCUUGUGAUUCGACUUGAAGAAACAAAGAACUUUCACAUUUUUAAGAAUCUUGUAUAAUUUCAGGAAUUUCUAUAUAAUUGGAGCUAAUGCUAUAGUAUAGUUAAAUGCAC
Paramuricea clavata is the source of this 1055-nucleotide non-coding RNA. The record is from the annotation of a GenBank genome assembly. Lineage: Eukaryota; Metazoa; Cnidaria; Anthozoa; Malacalcyonacea; Plexauridae.